Molecule: transfer RNA, 73 nt
Filed under: Stegodyphus mimosarum
Lineage: Eukaryota; Metazoa; Arthropoda; Arachnida; Araneae; Eresidae
Description: tRNA-Thr for anticodon CGU
Rfam family: tRNA
About the family: Transfer RNA (tRNA) molecules are approximately 80 nucleotides in length.
Source: Rfam by way of RNAcentral
GCCUUCGUGGUGUAGUGGUUAGCACGCUCGACGCGUAACCGAGAGGUCCGUGGUUCGAUUCCCUGCGAAGGCG